This 257-nucleotide ribosomal RNA is filed under the name uncultured prokaryote. Its description in RNAcentral is "partial 16S ribosomal RNA". It matches the Rfam family "Archaeal small subunit ribosomal RNA", at positions 471 to 728 of the family's 1478-position model. The record is from RNAcentral.
UAAUACCAGCACCCCGAGUGGUCGGGACGUUUAUUGGGCCUAAAGCAUCCGUAGCCGGUUCUGCAAGUCUUCCGUUAAAUCCACCUGCUUAACAGAUGGGCCGCGGAAGAUACUAUAGAGCUAGGAGGCGGGAGAGGCAAGCGGUACUCGAUGGGUAGGGGUAAAAUCCGUUGAUCCAUUGAAGACCACCAGUGGCGAAGGCGGCUUGCCAGAACGCGCUCGACGGUGAGGGAUGAAAGCUGGGGGAGCAAACCGGA